AUACGUAGGGGACGAGCGUUGUCCGGAAUUACUGGGCGUAAAGGGCGCGCAGGCGGAUAUUUAAGUCAGCUGUAAAAGGCAUGAGCUCAACUCAUGUAUGCGGUUGAAACUGGGUAUCUAGAGUGCUGGAGAGGUAGGCGGAAUUCCCGGUGUAGCGGUGAAAUGCGUAGAUAUCGGGAAGAACACCAGUGGCGAAGGCGGCUUACUGGCCAGCAACUGACGCUGAGGCGCGAAAGCCAGGGGAGCGAACGGGAUUAGAUACCCUGGUAGUCCUGGCCGUAAACGAUGAAUGCUAGGUGUGGGUGUCGAGAGGCAUCCGUGCCGGAGUUAACGCGAUAAGCAUUCCGCCUGGGGAGUACGAUCGCAAGAUUGAAACUCAAAUGAAUUGACGGGG
Molecule: ribosomal RNA, 394 nt
Filed under: uncultured bacterium
Lineage: Bacteria
Description: partial 16S ribosomal RNA
Rfam family: Bacterial small subunit ribosomal RNA
Source: RNAcentral